Dama dama (fallow deer) is the source of this 340-nucleotide long non-coding RNA. RefSeq lists it as uncharacterized. The record is from RefSeq and is a predicted model, not a curated record. The transcript is spliced from 2 exons. NCBI's taxonomy places the organism in Eukaryota, Metazoa, Chordata, Mammalia, Artiodactyla, Cervidae.
CAUGCAUGGCUGUGUCGGAUGUGGAGGGUGCAGGCGAGCCCUGCGGAGGAUCGCCUUUCUGCGGGGCCCCGGGGAGAGGUCACCCAGGCUUGCUGCUGUGACGAUGGGAACAACAAUCACGGUGGUAACAGCCUACAAGCUGACCUGUGUUCAGAGCUCACCACCUGCCGAGCCUCAAGACCAGGGCUCAACAUGUGUCACCAGUAUUAACCAACAUGUGGACACACUCCGCUGAGAGGAUCCGUGGUCCAGGCGUGGACAUCUGUGUCUAUAUUAGCACGCUGUAGCAGAGCAGACCCUCAAUAUCACAGAGAAGAAUAAAGCAGAUUUAAAGAGCAAA